AGCAGCCGCGGUAAUUCCAGCUCCAAUAGCGUAUAUUAAAGUUGUUGCAGUUAAAAAGCUCGUAGUUGAAUUUCGGGACUAAUAUGUCGGUCGUGCCUCGGUACGUACUGGUUUAUUGGUUUCUCCUUUCUGAAGAACCAUGAUGUCAUUUAUUUGGUGUCGUGGGGAAUCAGGACUGUUACUUUGAAAAAAUUAGAGUGUUUAAAGCAGGCUUUAGCUUGAAUACAUUAGCAUGGAAUAAUGAAAUAGGACGUUCGAACCUAUUUUGUUGGUUUCUAGGAUCAACGUAAUGAUUAAUAGGGAUAGUUGGGGGCAUUAGUAUUCAAUUGUCAGAGGUGAAAUUCUUGGAUUUAUUGAAGACUAACUACUGCGAAAGCAUUUGCCAAGGAUGUUUUCAUUAAUCAAGAACGAAAGUUAGGGGAUCGAAGACGAUCGGAUACCGUCGUAGUCUUAACCAUAAACUAUGCCG
This 469-nucleotide ribosomal RNA is filed under the name uncultured Glomus. RNAcentral's name for it is "SSU rRNA". It matches the Rfam family "Eukaryotic small subunit ribosomal RNA", at positions 569 to 1044 of the family's 1831-position model. The record is from RNAcentral. Lineage: Eukaryota; Fungi; Glomeromycota; Glomeromycetes; Glomerales; Glomeraceae.